ACGGGUGAGUAACACGUGGGAACGUGCCCUUCGGUUCGGAAUAACUCAGGGAAACUUGAGCUAAUACCGGAUGCGCCCUUAUGGGGAAAGGUUUACUGCCGAAGGAUCGGCCCGCGUCUGAUUAGCUUGUUGGUGGGGUAACGGCCUACCAAGGCGACGAUCAGUAGCUGGUCUGAGAGGACGAUCAGCCACACUGGGACUGAGACACGGCCCAGACUCCUACGGGAGGCAGCAGUGGGGAAUAUUGGACAAUGGGCGCAAGCCUGAUCCAGCCAUGCCGCGUGAGUGAUGAAGGCCUUAGGGUUGUAAAGCUCUUUUGUCCGGGACGAUAAUGACGGUACCGGAAGAAUAAGCCCCGGCUAACUUCGUGCCAGCAGCCGCGGUAGUACGAAGGGGGCUAGCGUUGCUCGGAAUCACUGGGCGUAAAGGGCGCGUAGGCGGCCGAUUAAGUCGGGGGUGAAAGCCUGUGGCUCAACCACAGAAUUGCCUUCGAUACUGGUUGGCUUGAGACCGGAAGAGGACAGCGGAACUGCGAGUGUAGAGGUGAAAUUCGUAGA
This 557-nucleotide ribosomal RNA is filed under the name uncultured bacterium. Its description in RNAcentral is "bacterial SSU rRNA". It matches the Rfam family "Bacterial small subunit ribosomal RNA", at positions 102 to 694 of the family's 1533-position model. The record is from RNAcentral.